GAUGAAUGCUGGCGACAUGGAUAAGGCAUGCAAGUCAAGGGGGCCGCAAGGCAACCGGCAGACGAGGUAGUAACACGUAGGUACGCACCCCAGAGUCUGGUAUAGCUCGUCGAAAGACGGGGUAAUCCCGGAUGGUCCCGUAAGGGUAAAGAUUUAUCGCUCUGGGAGCGGCCUGCGUAAUAUCAGCUAGUUGGUAAGGUAAUGGCUUACCAAGGCUACGACGUUUAGGGGAGCUGAGAGGCUGACCCCCACCGAUGGGACUGAGACACGGCCCAUACUCCUACGGGAGGCCGCAGUCGAGAAUCUUCCACAAUGGACGAAAGUCUGAUGGAGCGAUGUCGCGUGAUGGACGAAGUGCUUCGGUACGUAAACAUCUUUUAUGUGGGACGAAAUUAUUGACGGUACCACAUGAAUAAGGGGCUCCUAACUCUGUGCCAGCAGGAGCGGUAAUACAGAGGCCCCAAGCAUUAUCCGGAAUCAUUGGGCGUAAAGGGUGUCAAGGCGGUCAUGUUAGUCUUCCGUAAAAUCCAGGAGCUCAACUUCUGGCCCGCGGGAGAAACGGCAUGACUUGAGGUCAGGAGAGGUGCAUGGAACUCACGGUGUAGGGGUGAAAUCCGUUGAUAUCGUGGGGAACACCAAAGGCGAAGGCAGUGCACUGGCCUGAAUCUGACGCUCACACACGAAAGCCAGGGUAGCGAACGGGAUUAGAUACCCCGGUAGUCCUGGCCCUAAACGUUGCUCGCUCGUUCUGCGGAGUAUCGACCCUCUGCGGGACUAAGCUAACGCGGUAAGCGAGCCGCCUGGGUAGUACGAUCGCAAGGUUAAAACUCAAAGGAAUAGACGGGGACUCGCACAAGCGGUGGAUCAUGUGGCUUAAUUCGUCGGUAAGCGAAGAACCUUACCCAGAUUAGAAAUCCAACUGCACGCCUUCCCCAAAGGAGGGAAGCCUUCGAGGGUGUUGGACAGGUGAUGCAUGGUUGUCGUCAGUUC
Molecule: ribosomal RNA, 990 nt
Filed under: uncultured Parcubacteria group bacterium
Lineage: Bacteria
Description: bacterial SSU rRNA
Rfam family: Bacterial small subunit ribosomal RNA
Source: RNAcentral